CACCGAUCUAGAGGGUAUUAAUAGGCCUCAAACUACUGAAGAGGAAAACGAUAUAUGUAUUGUAUGCUUCGGAAAUUACAACGAUGGAAACAAUCUUUGCUCACUCACUUGCGGCCAUAGUUUCCAUUUUGCUUGAUCAAUGGCUUCAUUCAAAAAUAAGUUGUCCGGUAUGUAGAAAAACUAAUCUAUGAUGCCAGUCUAAUUUCUAAUAUCAUUUCUGUCAUAUUCUCUACUUUUGUUUAAUUUAAAAAAAUAAUAUAAAUGAUUUGUCCUCAUUAAUAUACAUUUUUCUUUCUCACUAUUGUUUUCUCAUAAAAAAACAACAACAACUAGCACUUUUAUACAAAACAUACUAUAGCUCAAAAUAUGGCUACAUCAACAACAUACAAAUUACACCGAGAUACAACCACCCUGCGCGUAGCGCGGGCAUGCCACUAGCAAAAUAAUAUAAGUGAUGAUUAUUUAGCGGAUUCGAGAGGAUGCUUGAAUGUGUCAGGAAUGGUUCUCAUAAUUCAUGGAAUUUUUUAUCACGCUUAAACUAUUUCACAAUUCAAAUUGAUUUUCUCUCUUUUCCACUUGAGAUGGAAAAGAUGAUAAAAAAUAGUUAACUCGCGGCCACCCCGGAAGACAAACAUGAAGCAUCAUGUAUUGCGUCUAAUUACAUUCGGAUGGAGACAUUCCACGAUAAUAGAUGUUGAGCCCACGAUCCAGACAAUUAAGGGAUUGUUGAUUACGCAAUAUUACAUCAUUUCGAUAAAUUAACCAAUGGCUACUUUUUUUUACACCAAUUGCUAUUUCAAACUUAAGAAAUUAUGGAUUAAAAAAAACCUAAAUUAAGAAAGAAACCAAAAUCCCUUCUCUCUCUUCCUAUUUCUCUUUGCCCCCUCUCUAAAAAAAAUUAAAUUAAAUUUUUCUGGUUAUUUCACCAAUUCUCCCUAUUAAAAAUAUGUUUAGACAACAAAUACAACGACGACCUUCCGUUGGUUAAUAUCUUUUCUUAUUCGACCAAAACUUUAGUUAAUUAUCUAACGUACGAAUAUGAUUAAAAACAAUUGACUUGGAAAAUAAAAACUAAAUAGAACAUACGGGAAUGCACUGAUGCACAAUUCUGUCGACAUUAUGAACUCGGGUGAACCAGACAUAAAAAAACAGAGAGAUUAAACAAUUAUAACAAAGCUACGAGAUGUUGACUAUAAAUAGAUCACCACACAUAUCGAUAUGCCUUAGAAAGGCUAAGUUUACUGACAAGAAAAACAAAAACAAGUUUAAGAAAAAGCCAAGCAAAACCAAAAGAAAUGGCGAAGAACCUCAGCUCCAUUACCUUCACCGUUCUCUUGCUUGUCUUAUUGAUGGCUUCAAGGAAAUCCUCAAAAUUGAGGCUAUGAAUAUCAAGGCUAGAUGCCUUCCACAGGGAUGCAAAAAUGCUACAUUCUCCGAGGAGUGCGGGCCAGAGCCGUUCACAGGUUCAAAUAACGAUUGCUGUCAUUGUUGCGUAACCAGAUACGGGAGGAAUGCAGUCUGCAAAGGAGUUGUUGAGGGACCAGACAAACACUGUCAUUGCUACAAAGAACGUGUUUGAAACAACCACCUACAAUGACCAAGUAUAAGUGUGUAACUUGUGUGUUUCAUUUGGUGUGAGGACAUUACAUGUUUGUAUGUUUAUGUUCAACAUUCUUUUGUUUCCAAAUAAAAUAUCAAGGGCAAAGCAUAUCACUGCUUUGGUCCCAAAGUGUAAGCUCAUGUUGUGUGCAAUUUUGUUUCAUUCUGAAUAUUCGAUUCUU
Long non-coding RNA from Brassica napus (rape), 1781 nucleotides. RefSeq lists it as uncharacterized. The transcript has 2 exons. The record is from RefSeq and is a predicted model, not a curated record. Lineage: Eukaryota; Viridiplantae; Streptophyta; Magnoliopsida; Brassicales; Brassicaceae.